CCUACGAGUGGCAGCAGUGAGGAAUAUUGGUCAAUGGCCGAGAGGCUGAACCAGCCAAGUCGCGUGAGGGAAGACGGCCCUACGGGUUGUAAACCUCUUUUGUCGGGGAGCAAAGCGAGUCACGUGUGACUCAUUGAGAGUACCCGAAGAAAAAGCAUCGGCUAACUCCGUGCCAGCAGCCGCGGUAAUCCGGAGGAUGCGAGCGUUAUCCGGAUUUAUUGGGUUUAAAGGGUGCGCAGGCGGAGGUGCAAGUCAGCGGUCAAAUUGCGGGGCUCAACCCCGUACUGCCGUUGAAACUGCAGCCCUUGAGUGCGCGAGAAGUAUGCGGAAUGCGUGGUGUAGCGGUGAAAUGCAUAGAUAUCACGCAGAACUCCGAUUGCGAAGGCAGCAUACCGGCGCGCAACUGACGCUCAUGCACGAAAGCGUGGGUAUCGAACAGGAUUAGAUACCCGUGUAGUC
Molecule: ribosomal RNA, 459 nt
Filed under: uncultured bacterium
Lineage: Bacteria
Description: partial 16S ribosomal RNA
Rfam family: Bacterial small subunit ribosomal RNA
Source: RNAcentral